UUUCCCUUACCGUUAAGUAACCGAAAGUCCGGACGUAGUUCGUACUUAAUUUUUAAGGUUUUGGUUCGUUCGGGGGAAGGGGUAACUACGGAACGGUACGUUUACGUUUUUACGUUUAAAAAAUUAAAAAAAUUAAGGUUUAGUUAACGAACGUCGUACGCUUGAAUACAUUAGCAUGGAAUAAUGAAAUAGGACGUUUGAUUCUAUUUUGUUGGUUUCUAGGAUCGACGUAAUGAUUAAUAGGGAUAGUUGGGGGCAUUAGUAUUCAAUUGUCAGAGGUGAAAUUCUUGGAUUUAUUGAAGACUAACUACUGCGAAAGCAUUUGCCAAGGAUGUUUUCAUUAAUCAAGAACGAAAGUUAGGGGAUCGAAGACGAUCAGAUACCGUCGUAGUCUUAACCAUAAACCAUGCCGACUAGGGAUCGGAUGAUGUUAAUUUUUUAAUGACUC
This 448-nucleotide ribosomal RNA is filed under the name fungal sp. RNAcentral's name for it is "partial small subunit ribosomal RNA". It matches the Rfam family "Eukaryotic small subunit ribosomal RNA", at positions 636 to 1077 of the family's 1831-position model. Lineage: Eukaryota; Fungi. The record is from RNAcentral.